GCCUUCAUGGUGUAGUGGUCAGCACGCUCGAUGCGUAACCAAGAGGUCCGUGGUUCGAUUCCCGGCGAAGGCG
RNAcentral lists this transfer RNA (73 nucleotides) under Stegodyphus mimosarum. It matches the Rfam family "tRNA". Rfam says of the family: Transfer RNA (tRNA) molecules are approximately 80 nucleotides in length. Their secondary structure includes four short double-helical elements and three loops (D, anti-codon, and T loops). The record is from Rfam by way of RNAcentral. Lineage: Eukaryota; Metazoa; Arthropoda; Arachnida; Araneae; Eresidae.